UGGGGAAUAUUGGACAAUGGGGGAAACCCUGAUCCAGCAAUGCCGCGUGUGUGAAGAAGGCCUGCGGGUUGUAAAGCACUUUAGGAGGGGAGGAAGUAUUAACUUCGAAUAGGAGUUAAUGUUGACGUUACCCUAAGAAUAAGCACCGGCUAACUCUGUGCCAGCAGCCGCGGUAAUACAGAGGGUGCAAGCGUUAAUCGGAAUUACUGGGCGUAAAGGGCGCGUAGGUGGUUGACUAAGUUAGAUGUGAAAUGUCUGGGCUUAACCUGGAUUAGUCAUUUAAUACUGGUUGACUAGAGUACAGUAGAGGGUAGUGGAAUUUCCAGUGUAGCGGUGAAAUGCGUAGAUAUUGGAAGGAACACCAGUGGCGAAGGCGGCUACCUGGACUGAUACUGACACUGAGGCGCGAAAGCGUGGGGAGCGAACAGGAUUAGAUACCCCGGUAGUCC
This 449-nucleotide ribosomal RNA is filed under the name uncultured bacterium. RNAcentral describes it as "bacterial SSU rRNA". It matches the Rfam family "Bacterial small subunit ribosomal RNA", at positions 355 to 796 of the family's 1533-position model. The record is from RNAcentral.